UUUUUUUUUUUUUUUUUGAUGUGGCACACACGGACUUUGCCUAUGCCUUUCUCAGACAUAGGCAUAGGCCCUCCUUACCCAAAAGCACUGCACAGUAUUAGUUACGUGUUUUAAUUCCAGUUUGCCUAUGGCCAAUUAGUGAUAAUAGGCAACAUUGAUGUUUUAAACAAACAUAAUGAAAUUCAAGCUUAUCCUGUAAAUAUACUUAACAACACCACAUAACUGUGUUUGUUGUUUUGUUUUUUAAGGCCUUGAAAAGAACUAGAGACCUAAUCUCAGAGUUACAUGAUGAACAUGAAGUAAUUGAGAAGCUUCCUGGUUGAGCCAUAACUUCCUGUCUGAGAAAAAGAACGUGCACAGCCCUGUUUGGCUUGGAACAGCCCAAACAUUAAUGAGUUGAACAUUUUUAUCACUAGUAAAGCAGGUUUACUAUUAAAACUGACAUAGCAUCCAGCUAUAAUAAAAACAGUCUACAAAACACUUGUUAACCUUGUUGCUACAACAACCCUUGAGGUAACUUGACUGGAGUGUCUCCCAACCUUAGGAACGCCUGUGGACCAGCCUGCUGUAGUGCUGGUUCUCUGCAGUGGAGACGGUGGCUGCUGUGUGUGUGAAGUGGCAGAACCAUUAAGCUCUUCACACUUGGACAUCACUCUUCCUCCUCAAAUUGAAUUGCGUUCCUUUAGUACAGGAGGCAGAAGUGUGGAUGGCAGGCUGAUGUUAUCCCCUGUAUCGUUCUUUAGUGGCACACACGUCCAAGACAGAGGGUGAGGACUGCAUUAGCUAGUGAAUAUUUGUGGGAGUAGGGCAAGAGGGUUCAGUAGGUAAAAACCCUUCUUGUGCAGACUUCUAUACCUGAGCUUGAUCCCCAAAACCCACAUGAAGGUAGGAAGAAACGUGUCCUCUGACCUCCACAUUUGUCUACUCACACAGCAUACACAGAAUAGUAAGAAGUUGUGUCUCUUCCUCCUUCCCAUCCGUUCAUCUCAGACAGACUUUGUUUCCAUCAAAAUCAAGACAGUCUGAAAUUUAGAAGUUCACAACAGGAGUCUGAAAGUCUUCAGUGAAUAGGCAUGUGAGUAUUUGUAAAAAUCCUUUUAACUGAUCGUUUUGGUGCAAAGUAGCAAAAAGGUUUAUGCUACUUUGUACAUGUUAGGACUAUAGGAUUUGCAUUCUUUUUUUACUUUUUAUUAGGUAUUUUCCUCAUUUACAUUUCCAAUGCUAUCCCAAAAGUCCUCUAUACCCUCCCACCCGCCCACUCCCCCUUUUUGGCCCUGGCGUUCCCCUGUACUGGGGCAUAUAAAGUUUGCGUGUCCAAUGGGCCUCUCUUUCCAGUGAUGGCCGACUAGGCCAUCUUUUGAUACAUAUGCAGCUAGAGACAAGAGCUCCGGGGUAGGAUUUGCAUUCUUAAACAUACUAACAGAAGGCAAGAUCAUUGAGUCCAAAUUCACACAGAUGCUCAGGGGUAAAUCAGUAAUAGAUCAAGCUUGCUUCCCCAGGAAGUUUGGGAGUUGAAAGUUACCAUAACAAUUAACAAUGUGAAUAGAAUUUGAGGUUAUUUUGUCCCUCUUUGCCUCAUAAUACUGUUAAUUACGUCAAGAAGUUCUAAAAUUGGGAAAAAAAAUGUGAUCCAGAGGAAAGCACAGGUGCUCUGAACACCUGACCCAGGAAGGACAUUGCGAGGCCAUUGUUCAAGGAUUCAUUCCAUUAGGGAGUGAUUUAGAGUGAUCUUGAGGUCUUAGAGUGCACCUUGUGCAUGUGAACAAGGAAGAAACCCAGACAUUACUUACUAAGCAGCCACGUCAGUGCCGAGCAGAAGAUUGACAGCCACGAGCUAUCAUAAAGUCUGGGUGGCUGGCGGCAAGUGCCACAGGUGACUGUACUAGGAGCGUUCAGGAGUGUACCCACGAGGGUGGGGCGCAUGGCAGUGUGGUACGCUCCGUUUGCACCAGCAGCCUCUGCGUGUGAAGAUGCUGGCUUUGGUUCAUUUACAUGGCUGGUUUGCUAGAGAACUCCCUGAGACUCUAGUGGUGCCUACGUGUUUGAUGGUAACAGAUGGACAGUUUUCAGCCAGUUGCCUAACAGCAGUUUGCUAUGAAGCCACACUUGAACAGCGGCAGGAGGAUUAUGCCCUCUGCUGUUAAAUGGCAUGUUUCCACGGGAGAUCUUGUCUCUGUUGGCUUGUCAUUAGCAGCAUUUAAUCAUAGUGCAUCAUGUAAAUACCAUGUUUAUGCACAUGACUCACUUUUUAGGUAGUUAUUUGUAUAAAAGUGUUUGGGCUACAGUGAGAAGGUGAGGACUGAGAAGAGCCCAUUUUGCCCUUGGAAUAAAGCAUUUUAAUAGGAAUGUCUAGCUUGCCCCUUUCUGUUAAAAGGGGUUAAAAAAAAAGUGUUUUGCCUAAGAACCCAACUUUCUUCAUUCCAUCUUUUGUUUUUGUUUUUCGAGACAAGGUUUCUCUGUGUAACAGCUCUGGCUGUCCAGGAGCUCACUCUGUAGAUGAGGCUGGCUUAGAUGGAGCUCACUAGAGAUCUGUCUGCCUCUCUUUCCUGAGUGCUGGGAUCCAAGACGAGUGUCGCCGUGCCCGACCUCAUUCUCACUUUUUAGCCACGCUCUUGUGUGUGGCAGUUCAGAACACUCUUGGUCAACCAUGAACACAUUUUGUCAGGAAUUGAAUUUUAUAGAUAUGAGUGCGUGCUUUCACGUGCAACAGAAUCGGCGGCCUGCAGAGCACUACUUUCUCGAAAUGCUCUGUAGUAGUUACAGGAGGAUCUUUUUUAUUACAGUCUACCUGAGGGUUUGAUUUGGUUGGUUGGUUGAUUGGUUGUUUUUUGAGUCAGGGUUUUUCUGUGUAGCCUUGGCUGUCCUAGAACUUGCCUUGAAUUUACAGAGAUCCGCCUGCUUCUGCCUCCCCAAGUGCUGGGAUUAAAGGGGUGUGCCACCACCACCACCACCAUAGGCUACCAUUGUAAGGGAAGCAAUAGGCACAGAAAAAAAUACUUUUCUCAAAAUGAAAAUCACUGAAAAAAGUGUUAGAUUUUAACUUUUAAGUAAAGCAUUCUACACACGACAUACCCUGUUACUCUUUUUAAAUAAAACCAAAUAUAGGUGAAUAAAGUUGAACUUCUGAGAACUAAAUUUUGGUGCUUGGAAUUGCUAACAGUUUACAGGGCGCAAUUUUAUUUGCCAGAAUGUCAACAUUUUCUACCCUGCUUCCACUUUUUUACAGUCUGUUCCUUAUCCCCUGUAAUUAAAGAAACCCUGAGGAAAAAAACAUUACCAGAAUAUGUAAUUGUAGUAUUUGUUAAGUACAGCAAUGCCCAGAGUCGAGAGCGAUGUUACCAUUAAAAGUAAGUAUUUUGUGUCC
This 3364-nucleotide long non-coding RNA is filed under the name Mus musculus (house mouse). Its description in RNAcentral is "long non-coding RNA chr18:76311891-76315255". Lineage: Eukaryota; Metazoa; Chordata; Mammalia; Rodentia; Muridae. The record is from RNAcentral.